UACGUAGGGUCCGAGCGUUGUCCGGAAUUACUGGGCGUAAAGCGUGCGCAGGCGGCUUCUUAGGCAUGCCGUGAAAGCCCCGGGCUCAACCCGGGAGGGUCGUCGUGAACCGGGGGGCUUGAGGCCGGUAGAGGUGGGUGGAACUCCUGGUGGAGUGGUGAAAUGCGUAGAGAUCAGGAAGAACACCCGUGGCGAAGGCGGCCCACUGGGCCGGUACUGACGCUGAGGCGCGAAAGCGUGGGGAGCAAACAGG
Molecule: ribosomal RNA, 253 nt
Filed under: uncultured bacterium
Lineage: Bacteria
Description: partial 16S ribosomal RNA
Rfam family: Bacterial small subunit ribosomal RNA
Source: RNAcentral